UGAGCAAUCUGCCCUUCUCUUCGGAAUAAGCGUUGGAAACGACGUCUAAUGCCGAAUACGACCUCCUUUCGCAUGAUCGGAGGUGGAAAGCUCCGGCGGAGAAGGAUGAGCUCGCGGCCUAUCAGCUUGUUGGUGGGGUGAUGGCCUACCAAGGCGACGACGGGUAGCCGGCCUGAGAGGGCGACCGGCCACACGUGGGACUGAGACACGGCCCAGACCUCCGUACGGGAGG
This 232-nucleotide ribosomal RNA is filed under the name uncultured bacterium. RNAcentral's name for it is "partial 16S ribosomal RNA". It matches the Rfam family "Bacterial small subunit ribosomal RNA", at positions 118 to 347 of the family's 1533-position model. The record is from RNAcentral.